RNAcentral lists this ribosomal RNA (325 nucleotides) under uncultured bacterium. Its description in RNAcentral is "bacterial SSU rRNA". It matches the Rfam family "Bacterial small subunit ribosomal RNA", at positions 28 to 334 of the family's 1533-position model. The record is from RNAcentral.
GACGAACGCUGGCGGCGUGCUUAACACAUGCAAGUCGAACGAUGAAAUUCUGACGGAGGCUUCGGCCAACUGAAGGAUGGAUUAGUGGCGGACGGGUGAGUAACGCGUGAGUAACCUGCCUUUCAGAGGGGAAUAACAUUUGGAAACGAAUGGUAAUACCGCAUAAUGUUAUCGGACCGCAUGAUCUGAUAACCAAAGGAGCAAUCCGCUGAAAGAUGGACUCGCGUCCGAUUAGCUAGUUGGAGAGGUAACGGCUCCCCAAGGCGACGAUCGGUAGCCGGACUGAGAGGUUGAACGGCCACAUUGGGACUGAGACACGGCCCAG